This 442-nucleotide ribosomal RNA is filed under the name uncultured bacterium. Its description in RNAcentral is "bacterial SSU rRNA". It matches the Rfam family "Bacterial small subunit ribosomal RNA", at positions 354 to 796 of the family's 1533-position model. The record is from RNAcentral.
GUGAGGAAUAUUGGGCAAUGGGCGCAAGCCUGACCCAGCAACGCCGCGUGGGUGAUGAAGCACUGAGGUGCGUAAAGCCCUGUUAGGAGGGAAGAACGAUCCCACUUGUGGGAUGUGACGGUACCUCCAGAGAAAGCUCCGGCUAACUCCGUGCCAGCAGCCGCGGUAAUACGGGGGGAGCAAGCGUUGUCCGGAUUUACUGGGCGUAAAGCGAGUGUAGGCGGGACGAUUAGUCGAUGGUGAAAUCUUUCAGCUUAACUGGAAAAUUGCCACCGAUACUGUCGUUCUUGAGUUCGGAAGGGGGAAGCGGAAUUCCUGGUGUAGCGGUGAAAUGCGUAGAUAUCAGGAAGAACACCGGUGGCGAAGGCGGCUUCCUGGUCCGACACUGACGCUGAGACUCGAAAGCGUGGGUAGCAAACAGGAUUAGAUACCCCGGUAGUCC